AUACGUAGGGGGCAAGCGUUAUCCGGAUUUACUGGGUGUAAAGGGAGCGUAGACGGUGUGACAAGUCUGAUGUGACAACCCGGGGCUCAACUCCGGGAUUGCAUUGGAAACUGCCAUACUUGAGUGCAGGAGAGGUAAGCGGAAUUCCCGGUGUAGGGGUGAACUCUGUAGAUAUCUGGAAGAACACCGAUGGCGAAGGCAGGCAUCUGGACGGAGACUGACGCUGAGGCGCGAAGGCGCGGGGAGCGAACAGGUUUAGAUACCCUGGUAGUCCGCGCAGUAAACGAUGCGCACCAGGUGUCGGGCGGCAGCGCCCGGUGCCGGAGCAAACGCGAUGAGUGCGCCGCCUGGGGAGUAUGCCCGCAAGGGUGAAACUCAAAGGAAUUGACGGGG
Molecule: ribosomal RNA, 393 nt
Filed under: uncultured bacterium
Lineage: Bacteria
Description: partial 16S ribosomal RNA
Rfam family: Bacterial small subunit ribosomal RNA
Source: RNAcentral